GCAAGUCGAGCGCACCUUCGGGUGAGCGGCGGACGGGUUAGUAACGCGUGGGAAUGUACCCUUUUCUAAGGAAUAGCCUCGGGAAACUGAGAGUAAUACCUUAUACGCCCUUCGGGGGAAAGAUUUAUCGGAGAAGGAUCAGCCCGCGUCUGAUUAGAUAGUUGGUGGGGUAACGGCCUACCAAGCCGACGAUCCAUAGCUGGUUUGAGAGGAUGAUC
RNAcentral lists this ribosomal RNA (218 nucleotides) under uncultured bacterium. RNAcentral describes it as "partial 16S ribosomal RNA". It matches the Rfam family "Bacterial small subunit ribosomal RNA", at positions 57 to 305 of the family's 1533-position model. The record is from RNAcentral.